GCGACCCCAAAUCCAGGUACUUGAAACCCGAACUCGGUUCUCCACGAUACCAUUUCUUUAAGCUGAAUAAUACUAAAUAAUAAUAUAAUUCGAACUUAAUUUACAUACAUCAAAGUUUACUUUCCCAGGUACGUGACCUUCAAAUACAUUCCUUACAAUACCUGACAAUAGAUUCCAUUGUCUUACUAACUAUAACCAUUAACUCAUACUCAAUCUCAUUCGAACAGCUUUUCUUUUCCCUUGUUCGUGCCUGAGCCUUCAGGUCGAUCGUACGUAACUGAAAACAUUUAGUUUAAGCAAGGAUGAGCAUUUGAGUGCCCAGCAAGUAAUUGCAAUUAUAUAUAUAAGCUGAAAGAAUAUAAGUAUUCUCUUUACAUAACCCUUCUAGAACGAAUCAAAAGUUGUGAAGUAAUUUGUACUGAUAAAACAUUCACAUAACAACUCUCUUCCAAAUUAUUUAAAUUUGGCUCUGGCUCUACCC
This 481-nucleotide long non-coding RNA is filed under the name Panax ginseng (ginseng). RNAcentral's name for it is "long non-coding RNA (PGIN_LNC015990)". The record is from RNAcentral. Lineage: Eukaryota; Viridiplantae; Streptophyta; Magnoliopsida; Apiales; Araliaceae.